ACGGAGGAUGCAAGCGUUAUCCGGAAUUAUUGGGCGUAAAGCGUCCGUAGGCGGUUCAGAAAGUCUGCUGUUAAAGCUCACAGCUCAACUGUGAAUCGGCAGUGGAAACUUCUGGACUAGAGAGUGGUAGGGGUAGAGGGAAUUCCUAGUGUAGCGGUGAAAUGCGUAGAUAUUAGGAAGAACACCAGUGGCGAAGGCGCUCUACUGGGCCAUUACUGACGCUGAUGGACGAAAGCUAGGGGAGCGAAAGGG
This 252-nucleotide ribosomal RNA is filed under the name uncultured bacterium. RNAcentral's name for it is "partial 16S ribosomal RNA". It matches the Rfam family "Bacterial small subunit ribosomal RNA", at positions 525 to 776 of the family's 1533-position model. The record is from RNAcentral.